AGUGAACGCUGGCGGUAGGCCUAACACAUGCAAGUCGAACGGCAGCACAGUAAGAGCUUGCUCUUACGGGUGGCGAGUGGCGGACGGGUGAGGAAUACAUCGGAAUCUACUUUUUCGUGGGGGAUAACGUAGGGAAACUUACGCUAAUACCGCAUACGACCUACGGGUGAAAGCAGGGGAUCUUCGGACCUUGCGCGAUUGAAUGAGCCGAUGUCGGAUUAGCUAGUUGGCGGGGUAAAGGCCCACCAAGGCGACGAUCCGUAGCUGGUCUGAGAGGAUGAUCAGCCACACUGGAACUGAGACGCGGUCCAGACUCCUACGGGAGGCAGCAGUGGGGAAUAUUGGACAAUGGGCGCAAGCCUGAUCCAGCCAUACCGCGUGGGUGAAGAAGGCCUUCGGGUUGUAAAGCCCCUUUGUUGGGAAAGAAAAGCAGCAGGUUAAUACCCCGCUGUUCUGACGGUACCCAAGGAAUAAGCACCGGCUAACUUCGUG
RNAcentral lists this ribosomal RNA (492 nucleotides) under uncultured bacterium. Its description in RNAcentral is "partial 16S ribosomal RNA". It matches the Rfam family "Bacterial small subunit ribosomal RNA", at positions 29 to 507 of the family's 1533-position model. The record is from RNAcentral.